UACAGAGGUCUCAAGCGUUGUUCGGAGUUACUGGGCGUAAAGGGUGUGUAGGCGGUUUUCUAAGUCUGGUGUGAAAUCUCCCGGCUCAACUGGGAGGGUGCGCCGAAAACUGGAAGGCUAGAGUACUGGAUGGGAGAGUGGAAUUCCUGGUGUAGCGGUGAAAUGCGUAGAUAUCAGGAGGAACACCUGUGGUGUAGACGGCUCUCUGGACAGUAACUGACGCUGAGGCGCGAAAGCUAGGGGAGCAAACAGG
RNAcentral lists this ribosomal RNA (253 nucleotides) under uncultured bacterium. Its description in RNAcentral is "partial 16S ribosomal RNA". It matches the Rfam family "Bacterial small subunit ribosomal RNA", at positions 524 to 776 of the family's 1533-position model. The record is from RNAcentral.